Long non-coding RNA from Erpetoichthys calabaricus (reedfish), 1257 nucleotides. RefSeq lists it as uncharacterized. NCBI's taxonomy places the organism in Eukaryota, Metazoa, Chordata, Cladistia, Polypteriformes, Polypteridae. The record is from RefSeq and is a predicted model, not a curated record. The transcript has 3 exons.
CAAGAUUUCCCUUCUCCGGUGCCAACCUCCAGUAACUUGCUGUAUUCGGACAGGGCCAGCAGACACCAGGUGACCAUUUGCGUUACCCUUGGAAAAUAUUUAUUCAUUUUAUAAACUCCCUUGCAGAGAGUGAAUAAAAUCUUUUCAAGGUCUUCCACAUUUUUACUUGCACUCAGGGAGCCUUUUGGUAUAUCUUCAAGUAUGUCACGCUCACUCACUUGGAGGGCAGCAAUUCUUUUUUGGACACCUGAAACAAUGCAGCGCACCUUGUCAAGAGUUUGAAUGUCAAUGCUUCCCGACUUUUUAAUUUCCUCCAGAACAGUAUCAGGCGACUUUUCUGGUUCUUUUCUUAAGUCCUUUUCAAAUUCUUCAUACAGAUUCUCUGUACCAAGGUGGUCACUGAUCUUCUUUCCAUCUUCAUCCUGCCAGGUUGGAGGGACACGGUAGACUUCAAUCAGAUGGAGCACUUUUGUGAGGAGGACAGGAUCACUGCAACGGCUUACCAAUUCAUACAUAAAAUCCAUAGCUUCAUUUGGCUUCCAAAGACCAGACUGGACAAUCCUCAGAAGUCUACAGUUCAAUUCAGAGUAAGCUUCCUCAUUAUAGGAAUGGGUUGCUGUGGUUAGCAAGAUCUCAUAGCACUUCUUCUCCACACUUGUGAUAUCCUGUCCAUAUUUUGGCUCAUUGACUUCCCUCAGGCACUUUUGGAGAAGUUCUAGAAAUUUCAAGAGAAAGACUUCUUCUGCUGGAAGAUUCUCCAUCUUGGUCAUCAGCUUAGUAAUCUUUACAACAUGGCAGUCGACUUUUUCCAUCAUACUUUUAUAUGCUCGAAGCAAAGCUUGUGUGAAACAAAAGAUGUCAGUUACAUUUUCAGCAGCAUUGUUAAUCGUCUCCACAAGGUACUGAGCUUGGUUGGCAAUGCUCUCCUGUAGACAGUCUUCCAUCUUGAGAUUUGCAAGUAUAAAUUCUGUUACCAGUACUUGAGUAUGGACAAGAGUAAGUCUACUUGGGGGUUUUGAAGGCCACUCUUGGAAUAGUAGUGUAUCCAGGGAUUUGGAAAGGCUGUCCACCUGUUGUGGAGUAAGUGUAGCCAGUGUUAUAUUAGAAAGGUGUACUCCACUCUUGGUAGACAAGAGAUCAAGAAGAUUUUGAUCUUCAGCAUCAUGUUUUUCAAGGUCAACCUUGAUCUUUUCAAAUUCAUCAAACCGGCUCACUACAACAUCUGUUGUGGUUUUCUCUUCCAUUUUCUCACGAAAU